Long non-coding RNA from Mauremys reevesii (Reeves's turtle), 1214 nucleotides. RefSeq lists it as uncharacterized. The transcript is spliced from 2 exons. The record is from RefSeq and is a predicted model, not a curated record. Lineage: Eukaryota; Metazoa; Chordata; Testudines; Geoemydidae.
GUUUACGAGUGCAAAAGGGAAGUGCAUCAGGACCUGGAGAGGAAGCUGCCUGGUGAGGGUAAAACUCAGGGCACAGAACUGAGGUUGAAGAGAGGUCAGACCCGGCUUGAAAUCAGAAAAGGGCUUUUUCACCAAUGGCCUCAUUCACAGGGUGCAGGUCCCAAAGCCCUUUAAAACCUGGAAUGUGUGGAACCCCUUGACCAAUAAUGGUGUGGAAUGUAGCAACUGUGAUCACCAGGAAGUGAAGACAAAAACUGGAUCAAAGCUAAAGAAGCAGGGGAGGGGGGUUAAGGAAACAGAACCAAAGAUGGAAUCUGGCCAGGGAACCUACACUAAGAGCCCCAUUACUGCAAAAGUGCCCUGUUGAUCUCUGACCGCACGUGAUCCAUGACCUUGGAUUAAUCUGUCAGGGGGAACACAGCAGAGUGCCCGCUAGUACCCGUUGGGGCAUUACUUCAGCACUGAGAGGGCCACUUACUGGGUCGUCAGUACCAAUUCUUGCAGCCCCCUGCAGGUCUCCCUGCAAGUGCCCAACCCUGGAUAACCAGACAGUUUCCAAGACAAGAUGACCUGUCUUUUUGCACCAUGGUAACCACCUUAAAGCUGUUAAGAACCCGUGUGAGGCUUCUCUGCAAGGACACUGAGGGAUGGUAGGAGAGGGACUGAACCUACCGCAGGGACCUGGUGUCACUGAAGGAACCAAUGGCAGCAAGCGGGCACCGUGGUUUAAAGCUUGCCUUGGUAGCUGCUUCAAGAGGACAGCUCGAGUUACCCAACCUGGCAGCGAGUUGGCAGUACGUGGGCACUUGUCCUGCCCAUCGGGUAGAUCUAAGUGCGGAGCUACCCGCAUGGCUCAGAAUAGCCUUGAUUGGCUUAAUUGUUGUUGUUAUAAUUCCUGGUAUGCCAUGCACAGCAGCAGGGGGCUGGGAAUGGGAUGUUCAUUUCUGAUCCAUGCUACACCUUAGAGCAAGAAAUGACACCAUGUGUUUGGCUGAAUGUUUCUGGAAGACCGUCGUGUCCAGCUGGUUGGUUGGGCUUUGGGCUGCUAGCUGUAGCAGUGAAACUACAGGCUCUGCCUCCUCCAGCCACUAGCCAAGCAGCAAGACAGAGAAUACAGGGAACAACAGGCGGCGCCAUUUCACUGCUUCCUCCUCCGGUGUCUUGCAGCCAUGAUUACUCACUGAUCCCCACAUUAAACCCUUCCAGCCAGCCAA